ACUGGUAAAUUUACUAUUAUUAAAAAAACAUAUACCUAAGCCUAUUAAAACAGUUAUACAUUUAAGGUAUUUUAAUAAAUCAAGGAGAGCCGGAAAGCGCUUAUUUAAUGGAUUAAGAGCCUAUGAUUAAAUUGCAUCGUCUGCUAAAAGGGAUGAAAAGAUGUAGGAGUUACCUAAUGAUGACGCGAACGGUUUCAUCCACGAGGUGAAUAAAGGGAUAAAAUUUACCAUGAUAAAUUACACCCUCUCUAAAGCUUAGACGAUUUUUUGGCGGAUAAAUGUCGUGCCAGAGCAAGAAUGACCUAGUAAAUUUUACCAUCGAUAAAUAACUGUUAAAUUUUAUUACCACUAAAUAAUGUUUACUCAUAAAAAUAAAUUGUUAUUAUACUUAAUUUUUAAUAAAAUAUUUUUUUUACAA
Anthonomus grandis grandis is the source of this 418-nucleotide long non-coding RNA. RefSeq lists it as uncharacterized. The transcript has 2 exons. NCBI's taxonomy places the organism in Eukaryota, Metazoa, Arthropoda, Insecta, Coleoptera, Curculionidae. The record is from RefSeq and is a predicted model, not a curated record.